This 429-nucleotide ribosomal RNA is filed under the name Gemmatimonadota bacterium. Its description in RNAcentral is "Gemmatimonadetes bacterium partial 16S ribosomal RNA". It matches the Rfam family "Bacterial small subunit ribosomal RNA", at positions 355 to 776 of the family's 1533-position model. Lineage: Bacteria; Pseudomonadati; Gemmatimonadota. The record is from RNAcentral.
UAGGGAAUCUUCGGCAAUGGACGAAAGUCUGACCGAGCAACGCCGCGUGAGUGAAGAAGGUUUUCGGAUCGUAAAACUCUGUUGUUAGAGAAGAACAAGGACGUUAGUAACUGAACGUCCCCUGACGGUAUCUAACCAGAAAGCCACGGCUAACUACGUGCCAGCAGCCGCGGUAAUACGUAGGUGGCAAGCGUUGUCCGGAUUUAUUGGGCGUAAAGCGAGCGCAGGCGGUUACUUGAGUCUGAUGUGAAAACCCCCGGCUCAACCGGGGAGGGUGAUUGGAAACUGGGAGACUUGAGUGCAGAAGAGGAGAGUGGAAUUCCAUGUGUAGCGGUGAAAUGCGUAGAUAUAUGGAGGAACACCAGUGGCGAAGGCGACUCUCUGGUCUGUAACUGACGCUGAGGCUCGAAGGCGUGGGGAGCAAACAGG